GGGGCUAUAGCUCAGAUGGUUAGAGCGCAUCCCUGAUAAGGAUGAGGCCAGAGGUUCAAGUCCUCUUAGCCCCACCA
RNAcentral lists this transfer RNA (77 nucleotides) under Streptomyces gossypii. RNAcentral describes it as "tRNA-Ile". It matches the Rfam family "tRNA". From Rfam's summary of the family: Transfer RNA (tRNA) molecules are approximately 80 nucleotides in length. Their secondary structure includes four short double-helical elements and three loops (D, anti-codon, and T loops). Lineage: Bacteria; Bacillati; Actinomycetota; Actinomycetes; Kitasatosporales; Streptomycetaceae. The record is from RNAcentral.